CACCAGUUGAGAUACAGCACGUGGUAGAGACACGACUGCAAUUACAUCAAAGAGGAUGGAAUCCAGGGCUGUGGCUCUCAAACUUGAGUGCGUCAGAAUGACCCAGGGGGCUUGCUGAAACAGGUUGCUGGGUCUGACGGCUCUGAGGGAUCCCUGAACCUAGCAGGGCGAAAGCCGGGGCACCUUGUCAAAUGCGCAGGGAGCAGUGUGACCUGAACCAUGGCCCCUGCCGCGGAGUGAAACGAAAGAUUACUCUAGCUGCUGGGUGGAGAAAGAAAUGUGAUGGAAAGACCGGGGUGAGAGACGCUGGUUAAGAAGGCUGCUGUGGGCAACCUGCGGGCAUCCAGGUCAGAAUUCCUGAAAGGGCUCCAGUUCUAGCUCCAGCCCCAGACUUAGGAGUCAUCAGCAGAGAGCAAAUAAUUUCAGCUAGAGGAUUGACGGGCUCUCCCAGGAAGAGGGAUAAAGCAUAAGAAGAAAACCGGGCCUGGGACAGAAGCCCAGAGGGCCGAGCGAAGAGCUGGUCCGAGAAGGAAGAGGAAAACUGUACUGUGUUCAGAGCUGUGGAUAAGUCGGCAAGUCCUUCAGGUUCUCAGGCAGCACGAACAGAUACAACCUCACUCACAUCACAAAACCGUGGGAGCACAACCUACCCCAGUGGUUCUCAAAGUGUGGUCCCCUGACCAGCAGCAUCCGCUGCACCCAGGAUGUUGUUAGAAAUAUAAAUUCUCAGGCCCCACCCUGGACUCAGUGAAGCUGAAGCUUUGGGGUGCGGCUCAGCAAUCUGAGUUUUAACAAGCCCUCC
RNAcentral lists this long non-coding RNA (802 nucleotides) under Equus caballus (horse). Its description in RNAcentral is "lncRNA (ENSECAG00000056159.1)". Lineage: Eukaryota; Metazoa; Chordata; Mammalia; Perissodactyla; Equidae. The record is from RNAcentral.